RNAcentral lists this non-coding RNA (94 nucleotides) under Streptomyces sp. WMMB 714. Its description in RNAcentral is "Bacterial small subunit ribosomal RNA". It matches the Rfam family "Bacterial small subunit ribosomal RNA", at positions 1 to 95 of the family's 1533-position model. Lineage: Bacteria; Bacillati; Actinomycetota; Actinomycetes; Kitasatosporales; Streptomycetaceae. The record is from Rfam by way of RNAcentral.
UUCACGGAGAGUUUGAUCCUGGCUCAGGACGAACGCUGGCGGCGUGCUUAACACAUGCAAGUCGAACGAUGAAGCCCUUUCGGGGGUGGAUUAG